AAACUGAAGAGUUUGAUCCUGGCUCAGAUUGAACGCUGGCGGUAUGCUUAACACAUGCAAGUCGAACGGCAGCACGAGGAGAGUUUACUCUCUUCGGUGGCGAGUGGCGGACGGGUGAGUAAUGCAUAGGAAUCUACCUUUUAGUCUAGGAUAACUACCCGAAAGGGUGGCUAAUACUGGAUGUGGACUACGGUUUAAAGCAGGGGAUCUUCGGACCUUGCGCUAAGAGAUGAGCCUAUGUGGGAUUAGCUAGUUGGUGAGGUAACGGCUCACCAAGGCGACGAUCUCUAGCUGGUUUGAGAGGAUGAUCAGCCACACUGGGACUGAGACACGGCCCAGACUC
Molecule: ribosomal RNA, 343 nt
Filed under: Ignatzschineria indica
Lineage: Bacteria; Pseudomonadati; Pseudomonadota; Gammaproteobacteria; Cardiobacteriales; Ignatzschineriaceae
Description: bacterial SSU rRNA
Rfam family: Bacterial small subunit ribosomal RNA
Source: RNAcentral